CAGGGGCUGGCGGAGCGACCGCGGCUGCCCCUCCCCUAUUCCUGGGGGGAGCGGGGGAGCUAAGGGAGCAGGCGAGAGUAGGUGAGGUGGAAGGGGAGGAGAGAGAGGGACAGUUUGGGAUCGGGAUGAGGGGAAGGGGGUGAGCGCGGCGAAGGAGGAAGGGGCUCGUUUCGACGGCGGUGGCGAGUGGUAUCGGUACCGGUGGCCGGUCCGGAACGGCUGGGCUCCACAGGUCCUCCUGGGAGCAGAAGUUGGUGCAGCGAACGCGGGGACCUAGUUCCGCCCCCUUGGUGGCUUGCAGAGGAAGCUGGAUGAGAAGAGGCGGGGCCGGUGGCGCUGGAGCAGCAGCUAGAUGGCGCGGCGCAGGAGAGGCCGGAGGGGUACGAAGAGGCGCCGUGGCGAUACCACCUAGGAAUCUCGGUCUACGGUGGCGACUGCCUACGAUGAUGUACCUCCGGCGGCUUCUGGUCCUCAUCAAUCCUCCAGGGUCCGUCCUCCGGAACGGAGAAGCUAGCAACUACAAACACGAUCGGAAGAAUUCCGUAGGAACAAAUUGAAUACAGACAUGAGUCUAUAACAACGAAGGCGACUGCGAACACAUAGCUCGAACAUAAGCUCGGGAGCUCCGGGGACUGAACAUUAUACUUCGAACAUAAUAAAAUAAACA
Molecule: ribosomal RNA, 667 nt
Filed under: Triticum aestivum (bread wheat)
Lineage: Eukaryota; Viridiplantae; Streptophyta; Magnoliopsida; Poales; Poaceae
Description: partial small subunit ribosomal RNA
Source: RNAcentral